RNAcentral lists this transfer RNA (66 nucleotides) under Pselaphinae sp. 6 EF-2015. Its description in RNAcentral is "tRNA-Ala". The record is from RNAcentral. Lineage: Eukaryota; Metazoa; Arthropoda; Insecta; Coleoptera; Staphylinidae.
AGGAUUAUAAUUUAAAUAAAAUAGUUAAUUUGCAAUUAAUAAAUAUUGAAUAAUCAAUUUAUCUUA